Seriola aureovittata is the source of this 579-nucleotide long non-coding RNA. RefSeq lists it as uncharacterized. Lineage: Eukaryota; Metazoa; Chordata; Actinopteri; Carangiformes; Carangidae. The record is from RefSeq and is a predicted model, not a curated record. The transcript has 2 exons.
UCAUCAUGACAUCUUCCUUUAUGUAGUAAAUUUAUUUUGUGUAUUACAAUGAAAGCUGUAAAUCAGCAUAAACAUGUCUGUCAGCAACAUUAAUCUUUAGUCAAAGACGAGGCUGUGCAAUGUUGUCAAGCUCCACAUUACACGCAAUAAGUGCCAUGUUAUAAAUUACCUCUACUAUAUGCGCUUGAUACUGUAUGUAGCCAAGCUUACUUCUUACCCACCUUAGCUCCACUGUCUGUCAUUUUUUGAAUUUCAUAAGCUUUAUAUUUUGGUGAAUGUUUCCAUUUUUCUCUAUAUUUUGGACAGGUGUUCCUGUGGAAACUGUGCAACCAUGCCCACAGAAGCUGAGAAUAUCUGCUGCUAGGAGAUACCACAGGUUACCAGACGGCUAUGGGAGAUCGAUGAAGAUUUACCAUGUAUGGUAGACCGUCCUGGGUUGGAGCCGCUCUGCCUCAAUGUGUUCUGCCUGCAACAUGUACCGCGCUGACUACGGUACUUUACGGUUGAGAGGAAUACACCAGUAUGUUUUGCUUCUUUGUAAAAACAUAGUUUCAAUCUGAAUAAAAGAUGUUAGACAGU